AUGGCAGCAGGAUUUCAAUCUGCUCCUGAAAGGCCAGCCACAGGUUCAGAGGCAGCAAAGGUUCUCCCUUCAAAAGUCAAACAACAAAAAAGGUCUUCUUUGAAUCCAACUCUGGAGGUAACAAUGCUUAAACAGUUGAGGACACCACAGUCUCAACUCGAACCUGUUCCUGUUCAUGUUAAUGGACAGCCACUUACAGAUCUGUGUGAUGUAUGGCCAAGACCCCAAGCCCUGAGAGUUCAUCUUCGUGUUGUCAACUGGGAUUCCAAAUCUGUCUCCUCAACCCUUAUGCAACAUGGGUGUUGGACGCUGGCAGAUUUCAUGCAGCAGCUAUUACUUUCCUUGUUUCUGAAAAGCUACAAACAAACAAAAACGUUAAGAGAAAACAGUCUAUCUGUUUGGAAGCUGUAGUGAAGACAAUAUGUGUUUUUUUUUAAUACCUUGAAAAUGUGAUAACUGUGCUCUCCAGGCAGAAACCAGCUAGUAACAUAGUUUUGUGAUCAUUCAAGAAAGUAUUAGGCAUUUUUAAAUUUUUGGAGAUUUUAUAGAUUUUAUAUAUAUAAUCUGUCACUGAAAGAUAACUUUCUACUUGAGUUCAAUUCAUCAAGUUUCUGUAAACAGCUUAUGACCAAUGCAAAACCCACCAAUAACACUACCUCUUCACAGUGAGCAUUGAAGUUCAGUGCGUAUAACAGCGCACUUACAACUUGGGUGGGUUGUGCCCAAAUUCAGUUUACACUUUAACCUAAAUCCAUCAAGUGCAGAGUACAUGAAAUUGUCAAAUUUUACAAUGAUAGGCUCACUGUGAAAUGAGCAUUGUACUACUGCUGUACAGUGCUGGGGCUCCUUUCUAGGAGCUAGGCCAAACUAUUAGCCCUUAAUUGAAUGUGUAGUGUCCAUUCACUGUGUCAACACUAAAGUAUUUUGAGUAAUAGGAUGAGUUGGCUUUGGCUUCUUUUCAUUGGCUGGACCACAUCUGGAUAUGUGAAGCAAUGCUUUACAUUAUGAGGUAGAGGCUGAGGGAAUAAAGUCAGGCUACAGAGAUACA
Molecule: long non-coding RNA, 1048 nt
Filed under: Anser cygnoides (Swan goose)
Lineage: Eukaryota; Metazoa; Chordata; Aves; Anseriformes; Anatidae
Description: lncRNA (ENSACDG00005000421.1)
Source: RNAcentral